This is a long non-coding RNA of Mauremys mutica (yellowpond turtle), 158 nucleotides long. RefSeq lists it as uncharacterized. NCBI's taxonomy places the organism in Eukaryota, Metazoa, Chordata, Testudines, Geoemydidae. The transcript is spliced from 3 exons. The record is from RefSeq and is a predicted model, not a curated record.
UUGUUUGUGUAACUUGCAUUACACAAACAAAACAUUUACUUUAUGAAUGCCUACAUACUUGGCAUAGGAGGAUGGAUUUCCAACAAUUACCAUUUCAUUGAUUUUAAUAAAAAGGUCUUUAAUCCCAUCCCACUGGUCUGAGAAGUGGAACCUUAAUA